This 260-nucleotide small nucleolar RNA is filed under the name Cyphellophora attinorum. Its description in RNAcentral is "Phialophora attae Fungal small nucleolar RNA U3". It matches the Rfam family "Fungal small nucleolar RNA U3". From Rfam's summary of the family: Small nucleolar RNAs (snoRNAs) are involved in the processing and modification of rRNA in the nucleolus. There are two main classes of snoRNAs: the box C/D class, and the box H/ACA class. Lineage: Eukaryota; Fungi; Ascomycota; Eurotiomycetes; Chaetothyriales; Cyphellophoraceae. The record is from Rfam by way of RNAcentral.
CGAUGCAGUACUUCAUAGAAUCAUUUCUAUAGUAAACGUCCUCUUCUGUGUUCUCUCUCACGAGCCACAGACCUCACCCUGGCUGAUGAUUCGAAGUCUCCGAUGCCCUAGAGUGAAAAAUUUUGUACUCUCGACGCGCCUUUACACGAGUCUUCGGAUGAGUGUCUAGGCAAGAGAGUGGUGAUGAUCUUCGACCCAACUCGAGGCCUGGCUUCGUGCCGCUUGAUGAGGGAGGUAUCGAAUGACUGAAUCUGACAGGU